GGAGAGAUAGCUCAAUGGUAGAGCAGUUGGCUGUUAACCAAUUGGUUAGAAGUUCGAAUCUUCUUCUUUCCG
This 72-nucleotide transfer RNA is filed under the name virus sp. ctPYc18. Its description in RNAcentral is "tRNA-Asn". It matches the Rfam family "tRNA". From Rfam's summary of the family: Transfer RNA (tRNA) molecules are approximately 80 nucleotides in length. The record is from RNAcentral.